Non-coding RNA from Salmo salar (Atlantic salmon), 1585 nucleotides. The record is from RefSeq and is a predicted model, not a curated record. NCBI's taxonomy places the organism in Eukaryota, Metazoa, Chordata, Actinopteri, Salmoniformes, Salmonidae.
UCCAUCAAGAGUCUGAAAUGAUAUAACCACUGAAAGGAAAUUGCGCUAUGGUGAUAGAGAAACUUCCCACUUGGCACACACUGGAUGAAUCGACAUUGUUUCCACGAUAUUUCAACAAAAUUGCAUUGAACCAAUGUGGAAUAGACAUUGAAUUGACGUAUGUGUCCAGUGGGCACUGUAUGGUGAGAAACUUGUUGUGCAGAGACACUCCGACAGAGAGAGAAGCAAAGGAGAGAGUGAGGGAGAGGACAAUGGUUAAAAUGGCUGUUUUGGGACUGCUUGGGUCCCUUUUAUAUCUGCUAACAGGUGUCAGUGGAGAAACUCUCUCUAUGUUCUCCAGAGUGGGAGAUGAUGUCAGUCUGCCGUGUAACAAUGUGGUUUAUCCAAACUGCUCCUCAACUACAUGGAUCUAUAACAGAGCUGGAUCUAAAGUAACUAUUGAAGAGGUCGCAUUGGGGAAGAUCAAAGUUGAGAAGACAGAGAGAGCAGACAGACUGAGUUUAGAGUCUAACUGUUCUCUACAUGUUAGUGAUGUCAGUGCUGAGGAUGCUGGACUCUACACCUGUCGACAGUUCCUUACAGAGACUGGACCACAACAUGGAGGUGAUGCCCCUGUUCAUCUGUCUGUUCUAACCAGUUCUCCUCCACCAAUCCAGAUCCUCGUCCUCCAUGUGGCUGUAGGAGUGGCUGUCGGAGCAGCUGUGUGUGUUGUUGCUGCUGUCAUCGUAGUACACAGAAGGAGAACGCAUAACCGAAUGUCAGCUGAUGACAAAAUUGAUCUGACUGCAGGAAGCCAUUCUAACCUAUCAACCAAUGAGGACAAGCAUCAACCUGCUGGCAAUAUCACCUAUGCCUCCAUCCUCCACUUCAAUCAAAACCCCCCCGCAGAAUGUUGAUGUCCAGGGUGAGGAUGCAGUGACCUAUUCCUCUGUUAAGCCCUCUACUACCAGAGGGAGAGAGACAGAGAACUCUGCUGACCCCAGCUCCCUCAACCACGGUCGGUUAUGAUACAGCCUGGAAUUGAGCCUGUGUCUGUAGUGAUGCCUCUAGCACUGAGAUGCAGUGCCUUAGACCACUCAGCGCAGCGGUUAAAUGUAUCAUUGAACUUGUUAACUUGACUGAGAACACAUUCUCAUUUACAGCAACAACCUGGGGAAUAGUUACAGGGGAGAUUAAUGAGCCAAUUGGAAGCUGGGGAUGAUUAGGUGGCUACAGUAUGAUGGUCAGAUUGGGAGUGUAGCCAGGAUACCAGAGUUAACACCCCUACUCUUACAGUAUCUUUAGUGACCACAGAGAGUCAGGACACUUGUUUUAACAUCCCGAUUGAAAGGCAGCACCCUACACAAGGCAAUGUCCCCAAUCACUGACCUGGGAUAUUUGAGGACAUGUGAGGCAUCUGUUUCUCAAACUAGACACUCUAAUGUACUUGUCCUCUUGCUCAGUUGUGCACCGAGGAUCCCACUCCUCUUUCUAUUCUGGUUAGAGCCACUUUGCGCUACUCUGUGAAGGGAGUAGUAUACAGCGUUGUAUGAGAUCUUCAGUUUCUUGGCAAUUUCUCGCAUGGAAUAGUCUUCAUACAAGAAUA